UACGUAGGGGGCUAGCGUUGUCCGGAAUCAUUGGGCGUAAAGAGCGUGUAGGCGGCUCGGUAAGUCCGCUGUGAAAGUCCAGGGCUCAACCCUGGAAUGCCAGUGGAAACUGUUGAGCUAGAGUCCGGAAGAGGCGAGUGGAAUUCCUGGUGUAGCGGUGAAAUGCGCAGAUAUCAGGAGGAACACCCAUGGCGAAGGCAGUAGACUGGGCAUCUCCUGACGCUGAGGCGCGAAAGCGUGGGUAGCAAACAGG
This 253-nucleotide ribosomal RNA is filed under the name uncultured bacterium. Its description in RNAcentral is "partial 16S ribosomal RNA". It matches the Rfam family "Bacterial small subunit ribosomal RNA", at positions 524 to 776 of the family's 1533-position model. The record is from RNAcentral.